This 463-nucleotide ribosomal RNA is filed under the name uncultured bacterium. RNAcentral's name for it is "bacterial SSU rRNA". It matches the Rfam family "Bacterial small subunit ribosomal RNA", at positions 29 to 524 of the family's 1533-position model. The record is from RNAcentral.
AAUCAACGCUGGCGCCGCGCUUAACACAUGCAAGUCGAGCGAGAAAGUGGAGCAAUCCAUGAGUAGAGCGGCGUACGGGUGAGUAACACGUGGGUAAUCUACCUCUGAGUGGGGAAUAACCCUGGGAAACCGGGGCUAAUACCGCAUAAGCCUGAGAAGGGAAAGCGGCAAUGCGCUGGGAGAGGAGCCCGCGGCCGAUUAGCUAGUUGGUGAGGUAAAGGCUCACCAAGGCGGUGAUCGGUAGCCGGCCUGAGAGGGCACACGGCCACACUGGCACUGGGAACGGGCCAGACUCCUACGGGAGGCAGCAGUGGGGAAUCUUGCACAAUGGAGGCAACUCUGAUGCAGCGACGCCGCGUGAGCGAUGAAGCCCUUCGGGGUGUAAAGCUCUUUCGGCAGGGACGAUAAUGACGGUACCUGAAGAAGAAGCUGCGGCUAACUACGUGCCAGCAGCCGCGGUAAU